Cyprinus carpio carpio is the source of this 1649-nucleotide long non-coding RNA. The record is from Ensembl. NCBI's taxonomy places the organism in Eukaryota, Metazoa, Chordata, Actinopteri, Cypriniformes, Cyprinidae.
GUCCGACUUGUUCUGCUGGCCGGUUUGUUUUUGCGUUAAAGGUGAAGUGUGUCAUUUAUGAGUCACUAGCGACACCAGAUGAAAUAACAAUUUUUUUUUAAUCACUGAAUGUAGCAUUCCCACUAUGAUGUUAGUUUGUUGCAGGCAUUGCUAUGCAGUUGCUAAGGUGCUUGGAGCUAUUUUCUUCCCUAUGUUGCUAUGGGGUUGCUAGGGUGUUUUGGGUGGUUACCAGGGCAUUCUGAGUUGUUAUGGGUUGCUAUGGUGUUCUGGGUGGUUGCCAUGGCAGUACUAACAUAUUGUGGGUUGCUAGGGUGUUUUGGGUGGUUACCAGGGCAUUCUGAGUUGUUAUGGGUUGCUAGGGUGUUUUGGAUUGUUGCUACACCAUUACAUGUGUACUACUAGGGAUUUUUAGCAUGUUGCUAUGGGGUUGCUAUGGUGUUGUGGGUAGUUACCAGGGGAUUACUAACAUAUUCUGAGUUUCUAUGAGGUUGCUAUGGUGUUGUGGGUGGUUGCCAUGGCAUUACUAACAUAUUCUGAGUUGCUAUGGAGUUGCUAGGGUGUUGUGGGUGGUUGCCAGGGCAUUACUAACAUAUUGUGAGUGGCUAUGGAGUUGUUAGGGUGUUGUGGGUGGUUGCCAUGGCAUUACUAACAUAUUGUGGGUUGCUAGGGUGUUGUGGGUGGUUGCCAGGGCAUUACUAACAUAUUGUGAGUGGCUAUGGAGUUGCUAGGGUGUUCUGGGUGGUUGCUAGGGCAUUGCUAAUGUAUUCUGAGUGAUUUUAAUGUGUUGCUAUGAGGUGGUUAGGGUGUUGUGGGUGGUUGCCAGGGCAUCACUAACACCCUAGCAACCCCAUAGAAACUUAGAACAUGUUAGUAAUACAGAAUACAUUAGUAGCCUAAUGCCCUUCACUAAAAUUUCAAGGCUUCUGUUUUUCAUUGUUUUUCCCGCUUUUACAGGUUGCCGAUUCCAAUAUUCUUUGAGCUGUGAUGUUUUUAUGGAGACAUGUCCACCUGUCAGAUGGGAAGAUAUUUCAUCAAAGAGACCCAACGGCUCACAUGUGUGCCACAGAAGGCCGAACAAUGUUGUUUAUUACGUGUGAAUGACAGGAUGUGCAAACAGUGGUAAAAUGCCCAGAGUUUUCCGAUGCCUUUGAUGUGGUUCCCACAAUGCUGCACCAUUCCUCUCAACUUUAAAGCCUCCUUAAGCACACAACUUGACGCUUGACAGGACAGCAGUGUACACAAACUCUCAGACACUCGCUUUGAAUGAGCUGCCGGGAGCGGGAGCCAAAAGCCUUGGAAAGUUCCAGGAUGUUCCCAAAGCGCCGACCUGUUUCUUCCUGUUUCUGAGCAGAGUUUCUCCUCUCCUCUGUCGCACAGCACAUGGCUCUCGGUCAUCAGCAUUGCUCAGAGUGUUUACACAGGGCCUGAUUUAAUAUGAUGAAGCAUGCAGUGCUGAUCCAAACAAUAGCUGAUUAUGUGACUCAUAAACUCUUGCGCCGUUCUCCUAGGGUUUAACAAAAACAUCACGCAAAUCACUGACACGAACAUGCAUAUGAUAUAAAGUUUAUCAGGAGCCAAGACUCAAAGUACUUCUGAUUAAUGUCUUUUGAAGCAAACAUCAGCAUUCGGGUUUCUUGAGAAUGCAAAAC